CCUACCCACAGGAAGAGAAGAAGGGAGUUCAGACGUACCGAGUUCACCGCGGAGAGCAAGGGAAGAGCUGGGGAUGGAAGGGCCUGGAGUAGCACGGCCUUUUAUACGCUCCCCUGGGGCUCUGGGCCGCAGUAUAAAAGUGGCCCAACUGCCAGCUCCUCCAUCCUCUCCUCGCGCCUUCCUCUGCUCCGGGAAGUUGUGGCUGCUGUCUUCAGGAGCCUGUUGCGUUGUGCUCAGCCACGUCCCCUCCUGAGAGCAGGGUGAGAGGAGCCCGACCUGGCAAGACCAGGGCUCUCCAGGGCAGGGCGUUUGGCUGCGUGAACAGAUGGGUGCUGGUACCAGGGCUGAUGGCCAGGAA
Long non-coding RNA from Pezoporus occidentalis (night parrot), 358 nucleotides. RefSeq lists it as uncharacterized. Lineage: Eukaryota; Metazoa; Chordata; Aves; Psittaciformes; Psittacidae. The record is from RefSeq and is a predicted model, not a curated record. The transcript has 3 exons.